AUUGAACGCUGGCGGCAGGCUUAACACAUGCAAGUCGAGCGAGCGGCGGACUUGUGAGUAAUGUCUUGUAAACUGCCUGAUGUAGGGGGAUAACUACUGUAAACGGUAGCUAAUACCGCAUACCAUCAGAUGUGCCCAGAUGGGAUUAGCUAGUAGGUGGGGUCAUGGCUCACCUAGGCGACGAUCCCUAGCUGGUCUGAGAGGAUGACCAGCCACACUGGAACUGAGACACGGGCCAGACUCCUACGGGAGGCAGCAGUGGGGAAUAUUGCACAAGGGGCGCAAGCCAGAUGAAGCCAUGACGCGUGUGUGAAGAAGGCCUUCGGGUUGUAAAGAACUUUCAGAGAGGAGGCGUUACUCGCAGAAGAAGCACCGGAUAACUACGUGCCAGCAGCCGCGGUAAUAC
RNAcentral lists this ribosomal RNA (406 nucleotides) under uncultured bacterium. Its description in RNAcentral is "partial 16S ribosomal RNA". It matches the Rfam family "Bacterial small subunit ribosomal RNA", at positions 30 to 526 of the family's 1533-position model. The record is from RNAcentral.